CCUGCAACACACCAAAGGAAAAUGGCUGCUUGUGAUUUACAAGCUGCAGGAAAGUUGCACUGAGGUGGAGUGUUUUCUCCACAGUCUGUGGCCACAGAUUGGCCUGAUGUGUUUUUGAUGGUUGUGCGUGGUCUUGGGUGUUGGGAUACCAUUGUGGAGCUGGCGGGUGUCGGGCUCUGCUUCCCAUGUCACCUGGCAGGUGGCAGCUCAGUGGGAACCUCUCUUCUCUCCCCCAGACCAAUGAGAACCUGGGGUUCUUGCUCUUGGGAUGUCCAGGUCCGAGGGGAUGAUGCCCUGGGCUCCCUGGCAGGUAUAAAUCACCCAGUGCUCACUGACUGCAAAAUGGAUUUGUACCAUUUAUGAAUUUCAUUCAUCGCACUUACAAAAGAUUCCUUUCUCCACAUGAAAAAAAAAAAUAAAAAAGGAAAAUUAAAGCAAAGCAUUUCUGCACAUCCUGAUUGCUUUGUUUACAGGAACUGUGUCUCUAAAUGCUCCAGGCUGAAGCACCGGUGCCGCCAAGAGAAUAAACUGCAUGUACAUCACGGCAAUCAUCCCUGCCGCUUUCCCAGGAACCCAGCACUCCCUCUGGAGCGAGCCUCCGAUUUUAAGCCCUGAAAGAGCAGCUUGACACCCUGUGACCUGCCUGGAGUUAACAGCUUAGGAGAUGGAAACAUGUCUGAAAGUCUCCAGGAAGAUAAUACUUGGGAAGACAGGUUUAAGCUAAAUAAGAAAGCAGAUUUCAUCGGCCUUCUUGGAAACAACCUGUCCAGAGAACUGUGAUCCGUUUCUAAAUUUGGCCUUUGCAUUUUCCACGUACAGGAAGUGAUGAAAAUGGCAGCAGUAAUCCCUGUUUUGGCAGCGGAAGAUUUUCCGGAGAGAUUUGGAUGUACUGCACCAACGCAAAUAUAAAUACAGGUUUUAUGCUGAUUUUCUCUUUCCCAAAAUUACUUUUACUCUUGUUCUUUGGAUGGUGAUAUAACAGUCUGAAUAGAAGAAACCUGACCUAAUGCAUAAGCACAUUAACUUGUGGCAAGCCAAACUGCA
Molecule: long non-coding RNA, 1044 nt
Organism: Cinclus cinclus
Lineage: Eukaryota; Metazoa; Chordata; Aves; Passeriformes; Cinclidae
Exons: 3
Source: RefSeq, a predicted model, not a curated record